Molecule: long non-coding RNA, 665 nt
Organism: Magnolia sinica
Lineage: Eukaryota; Viridiplantae; Streptophyta; Magnoliopsida; Magnoliales; Magnoliaceae
Exons: 3
Source: RefSeq, a predicted model, not a curated record
UUUUUCCGAAUUAGGUUUUCGUUGCUUGUAGAUGGACUAUUGAAUUGAACUGAAAUUACUGGUCUAAUGGAGUCGAAGUAACUGAGCUGUCUGUAGUUUCCUUAGUAUCCAUAUUGAGGUCUGAGCUCCAAAAUGCAAUUACACUACUUCCAAGUUGGAGUUGAAAGGAAUGUAACUGCAAUUGGAAGGCUAUUUCCUCAUUGCGAAAGUUUGGAAGAUACUUGGUUUUUGUUGCUUUCUGUCAAAAUGUGUGUGCGCGUGUUUUUUUUUUUUUUCGAAUUAGGAUUUCGUUGCUUGUAGAUGGACUAUUGAAUUGAACUGAAAUUACUGGUCUAAUGGAGUCGAAGUAACUGAGCUGUCUGUAGUUUCCUUAGGAUCCAUAUUGAGGUCUGAGCUCCAAAUUGCAAUUACACUACUUCCAAGUUGGAGUUGAAAGGAAUGUAACUGCAAUUGGAAGGCUACUUCCUCAUUGCGAGUGUUUGGAAGAUACUUGGUUUUUGUUGCUUUCUUUUGAUUUAACUAAAUGCUUGCAAUUCAAUUCACUCGUGCAUUAAAAUGCGGUGUUAGUGUUUUCCUGAGAAGGUUUUGCAUACAAAUUAAUGUUAUAGUGCAGGAUUCGGAAUUAUGGGGUACUGUGGUUGAAUUGAAUCUUAUUUCUUCUUCUU